CCAGGCCUCCAGAGGGAAGGGCCCCGCGAGCCCGGCCCGCGCGCAUCCCCGUGCCCAGAGGUCAUACAGGACACGGAGCAGUGGCCCCACGCGUGACCGGGGUUGGGCCGAACCUCGGGCGUCGCCGCCAAGAUGGCGUCGCUGUGGGCAAAGCGCUCAGGCAGGCGAGGCCUCGGCCUCGCGUGGGAGUGCGUCUGUGUACUGCCUCGCUUCCCACAGGUUUCCGUGUAAAAGGGGUGAAAGCCACUGGUAAACUAUUCAGAGCUCCGCACAAAGGUGAGAGGUGGCUCCUGGAAAGCUCAAAUAUGGAACCCACUUGAGGACAUGGUGUCUCAAUAGUGGAACCGCAAACCAUUGGUCUAGGUGUCACAUCUAAUUUUUUUUAUCCGUGCGCCUGAGUGAGCAGAAGUACCUUGCUCCCGGUGACACACCUUGUUAGUUGACUAGAUGGUGUAGCACUUUACAUUUUGUGGGUACAUGUGACUACACUACAACGGAGCUUCCCAACUUGCUGAAGUCAAGCAAGCGAAGUCUUGUAGAAUUGGAAGGAUGGAAGGUAGUAGAUACCAUUUAUUAGGCAACCUACCCUGUGAUCCAUACCUUUUCGCACUUGUUUUUCCUCCUCCCAGCUAUCAGCAGGACAGGUAUUAUCCUUUUAUUCUAUUGUUUUUUCAGGUGAAUAAACAUGCUGAAAAGUUUGAACAGCCUGAAGGUCACCAGUUAGUAAGAAUGGAAGCAGGCAUUGGAACUCAUACUUCAGAGUCCCCAAAACAAAUUCUAAAACAUGAGAAAAUUGCACCCCUCCCCACUUCCUGUUUUUCAAAAGUGGGAAAGGUGAUCUGACAUCUUUUGGAAACUACAACGUUGAUGGGAGUCCAUCUACCAAACAGGAAGCAGGUUUUACAAUUUUGCUAGAAUUGAUGAUGUUCUCAAAGCACUUUUCAGUGUCAUUUAGAAAUCUUGAUUAGGAGGUAUUUUCAGUGGCAGACUUGUAAGACAGAAUUCAUUUUUCUCGGAAAAGAGUUUAAAUAAUUUAGAAAGAAUUGUAAUUCAAAAUAGUUUUCUCUUAAUUAUACCUCAUUUUCCAAGAGUAAUAAAAGUUUUAAGGAGAGAAAUUGAGGAGAGAAUUGAUGAUGCAUUCUUGUUAUAGUCGCUAAACAUUUCAGGGUUUUUUUUUUUCCUGUGCUGUGGGAUUUUUAAAAACAUUUAUGCAUCUUUUAUUUUGAAUUACUAUACACUAAAGAGAAAACACAGUACAAAGAAGAAAAAUCAAAGAUCAUCUGUCCAAACACCAAUUAAUACUUUGGUACAUAUUUUUCUAGUGUUCUUUUGCUUUGUAUAGAUUGUUUUUGGCAUUAGUCAUAUUUUUAAAACCAG
Non-coding RNA from Macaca mulatta (Rhesus monkey), 1377 nucleotides. The record is from RefSeq and is a predicted model, not a curated record. NCBI's taxonomy places the organism in Eukaryota, Metazoa, Chordata, Mammalia, Primates, Cercopithecidae.